GGCGAUAUAGCUCAGUUGGUUAGAGCGAGGGAUUCAUAAGCCCUAGGUCCCUGGUUCGAAUCCAGGUAUCGCCA
This 74-nucleotide transfer RNA is filed under the name Phycisphaerae bacterium. RNAcentral describes it as "tRNA-Met". It matches the Rfam family "tRNA". Rfam says of the family: Transfer RNA (tRNA) molecules are approximately 80 nucleotides in length. Their secondary structure includes four short double-helical elements and three loops (D, anti-codon, and T loops). The record is from RNAcentral. Lineage: Bacteria; Pseudomonadati; Planctomycetota; Phycisphaerae. RNAcentral also lists the same sequence under 2 other names.